UUUUAAUCUGUGUAUAUAUACUUAAAAUACGAUGAUAAAAUUCAUUUCUUUUUCAGGAUUUCUGUCAGAUCCAACCAUGUAGUAAGUCAUGUUGGUGAGAUAUGGUUUUAGUCGAUGAUGUUCCUGAAGAACCUGUAGUACAAAGUAUAUCACUGGAUUGAGCUCUCUGUCUAAGUGUAUCAUUAAAGUGCUUUGCUUUGAGCUGAGUUCAUUGCUGUGCAAUUCAUUCUUUGUGAAAUAAAGAAUUGACAUACAACUCUCAUGUACAAGGAUUUGUCAAAGUAGUAUUCAUUCUAUGUACAAUGUACUAGUAUGUAAUAGGGAGAUAAAAAAAAAAGCAUUUUAUUUCGAUUUGAACCAAACAUUAUGUGUCUAUUGAUCAAAUUGAAGAAAAAAAACCGGACAAUGCUACUCCCCCUUCACGCAAUAUUAUGCUAGGUUGUUUUAAUACAUCUGUAUUGCCUACUAAAGACUAGGACCUGAGUGUAAAUGGUCAUUCAAUUAUGUGAAGAAGAACAAAUUUAGGCCUAUCUGGCCUAAUUGAUUUCUAAAACUAUUAUAUUUCAUUGUACCUGUUCAACAUUUUUUCA
This 590-nucleotide long non-coding RNA is filed under the name Mytilus galloprovincialis (Mediterranean mussel). The record is from RNAcentral. Lineage: Eukaryota; Metazoa; Mollusca; Bivalvia; Mytilida; Mytilidae.